RNAcentral lists this small nuclear RNA (132 nucleotides) under Mixia osmundae IAM 14324. RNAcentral's name for it is "U4 spliceosomal RNA". It matches the Rfam family "U4 spliceosomal RNA". Rfam says of the family: U4 small nuclear RNA (U4 snRNA) is a component of the major U2-dependent spliceosome. Lineage: Eukaryota; Fungi; Basidiomycota; Mixiomycetes; Mixiales; Mixiaceae. The record is from Rfam by way of RNAcentral.
AUUCUUAUGCUCGGGCAUUAGCGACGACGAUGAGGUCACCACCGAGUCUCGCUGAACUGCUUAUUGCAAACUAAACCAAACCGUCUCUCUAUCCUUUAGGAUAGUUAGCAAUCUCUUCGACCUGUCACAAGG